RNA transcript from Rhododendron vialii, 2719 nucleotides. RefSeq lists it as uncharacterized. The transcript is spliced from 14 exons. The record is from RefSeq and is a predicted model, not a curated record. NCBI's taxonomy places the organism in Eukaryota, Viridiplantae, Streptophyta, Magnoliopsida, Ericales, Ericaceae.
UCUCAUUCCUAAUCUUCUUCCCCUCGACCUAUACAUACAGGGAGAGAGAGAGAGAGAGAGAACUAGAGAGAGAAGAACUCAUCGGAGUUUCAGCAGAAAGGAAUGAGUCUGAACUUGAUAUCUCCUUGGCUCUCCCGCCCCUCUCCGCCCCUCUCCAAGUCUUCUUCCAAAUUCACCACUCUCUUUUUCCUCCUGCUCAACUCCAACUCCACAGUGCUCCAGCACCGAACCAUCAGAAAAUCCACGUCUCAAUCGAAGGCCAUCAGAGCUUCGUUAAGCGAGAGCGAGAACGACGUAGUCGCGGAGACCUCCUCUUUCGAGCCGUUGUUGGACGAGGACUUGCUCAGUCGAGUUUCUUCGGCGAGAGAUGCGAGCGAAGCGCUGGAAUUGAUCGCGGUGAAGCCGGGUAGAGGCGGUGGUGUUGUGAGCGGUGCGGAUUGUUGUUCGAUUAUUUCUGCUGCGUUUGAUCGGAGCAAUGUCGAUUUGGCGUUGUCGGUUUUCUAUGCAAUGCGUUCCAGCUUUGAUCUUGGGGAAGCUGAUGGUGAAAUGGUUUCGUUUGGUCAGAGAUGGAAGUGGUCGAGGCCAGACGUACACACGUACACAUUAUUAGUUGAAGGUCUUGCAGCAUCACUUAGAGUCUCAGAUGCCCUCAAGAUGAUUGGCGCUGUUAGUCGAAUAGGAGUUUCUCCUGGUGAAGAGGUCCCAUUUGGUAAGAUCGUGAGAUGUCCAGCUUGUAUGAUAGCUGUUUCCGUUGCACAACCCCAACAUGGUAUUCAGAUUGUGUCCUGUUCCAAGUGCCGCUACCAGUAUGAGCUAGUUUCUGGCAAUAUAGUUAGUAUUGAGUCAGAAGAAAUCAGCAUGGAGGUACCUAUGUGGAAAAGGGGGCUAAAAUUCCUACAAAUAAAGAAGCAAAGCAUUCCUGCUGCAGUUCAUUCUAUUGUGGUCUCCUUUGUGCAGGUGGAGACGCCAUCUGGGAUCGCACGCACCCACAAAUUUGCUACUGAAACUGUUGAUCUCCCUGCACAAGAAGGGGAAAGAGUAACCAUUGCUGUAGCAGCCCCAUCAACUGUUUACAGAGAGGUGGGUCCCUUAAAGUUUAGUCCAAAGUCCCCAGAUUUCUACUCAGGAGAACCUUUAUGCCUGACAAACCAUAGAGAUGGCCGAGAAUCGCUGUUACUAAGAGCUCCCGCAAAAAAUGAAGGUGUAUCCUUACUUAACCCCUCUGUCCUCUUUCCACUUUUUGCUGUGCUGGGCACUGGAAAUGCUGCCUCUGGAAUGAUUGAUCCCAGUAUGCCUCAGCUCAUUUCAGUUGCCGUAGUUUCAUCUUUUGCUCUUGGAGUUACUUUGAACACUCUGGUUAUCCCCCAGUUGGGUCGGCUUCCUCAGAGGUUGGUGGAUGUGAUUGCCAUCAGACAGCAACUCCUCUCGCAGUAUUACAAACUUCAAUCUCGCAUCAAGAAUCUGAAAGAGGCUGCUGAAAACGAGGUAUGGAUGUUGGCUCGCAUGUGCCAAUUGGAGAACAAAAUUGUUGCUGUUGGAGAACCUUCUUAUCGUGCGCGGAGAAGUAGAGUCAAAAGGGUGCGUGAAGGUUUGGAAAAUUCCCUCAGGAAACGAAUUGAAUUGAUUGACAGCUAUGCGAGAAUUUCUUCGAUGAUUGAAAUCGAGGUAGAGAUGGACUCUGAUGUGCUUGCUGCUGAAGCAGCUAGCAAUGCAGAAAAUAUUGCUGAACAGAUACAGCAAAUUAUGGAACUUGAAAAUCUUGAAGAGAGAUGGAAAAUCCAAGCUGAGGCAAAUGAUGAGGUUGAAAGACUUCUUAGUUCUGAACCCACAACCAGUGAACAGGUUUUAGACAUAUGACUGCUGAUGGAUCACAACAUGAUGAACAGUACCAGCUCUAAGCAAAUGCAGACUAGACUUUUUCUUUGGGCCUUCAAAUAUUUUUUGAAAAUAGGAGCUCUCAAAUGUAAUACGCCUGCAAAAUGAUACUACUCCCCUAGAGGCAUCCUAGCAGAGGACAUCAAAUCCACAUCCAUCUGGGCUACCAGCUUGUAGCAGUGACCCAGAGUGGAAGGGUCCACACCGAACCAAGGGGGUACUAACAGCUGAGUCCUCUCUGGAACACAGGAAUAGGAUUCUAUAUGAACCAAUGGAUCGGGACAAGUCGUUACUCCCACAAUGACCAGUUAAAAAAGCCCAUCAUACAAAAGUUUCUAAACCCGAUAAAUAAAAUCAAGGGUCCUAAACUGAAAGAAAAAAGAGCUGAAAAGGCCCAGCCGUGAUGCACAAGGGCCCGUUACGCUUUCGGCUCACAAAAAGUCGGGACCAGCUUUGUUGACGAACAAUCAUGAUUAUGCCAGGGGUAGAAAUAUACUCUUCAUGGCUGUGGCCUGUGGGAAGAGGAUGGAAACAAAGUACAGUUGCUUUGUUGUGUCUUCGCGGAAACUGGCCUGCCAGCUCAGCGAGCCUAUUUGUUCUGAAGGCAUCUACUUUUCUUUUGUAAAGCAAUUCCAUAUUUUGGAUCCAAAAUGCAAGCUUUUCACUUAGAGCUGUGUUGUAUAUCAUGUAGAGAUCUUUUUGUAAAGGGCUUUUGUCUCUUUUCAUUUGUUUCUUCCUUUAGGAAUGUUCUCACGAAUACAUUGGCGAAUUGACUUCAGUUACUUUGAUCUAUCUCAAGGUUUACGUAUCGAAUGUAUUGCAGCAUCGGGAUUGUUCAAUCGUU